Molecule: ribosomal RNA, 431 nt
Filed under: uncultured bacterium
Lineage: Bacteria
Description: partial 16S ribosomal RNA
Rfam family: Bacterial small subunit ribosomal RNA
Source: RNAcentral
AACGAACGCUGGCGGCAGGCCUAACACAUGCAAGUCGAGCGCCCUUUCGGGGGAGCGGCGGACGGGUGAGUAACGCGUGGGAAUAUGCCCUUCUCUACGGAAUAGCCUCGGGAAACUGAGAGUAAUACCGUAUACGCCCUAUGGGGGAAAGAUUUAUCGGGGAAGGAUUAGCCCGCGUUGGAUUAGGUAGUUGGCGGGGUAAUGGCCUACCAAGCCGACGAUCCAUAGCUGGUUUGAGAGGAUGAUCAGCCACACUGGGACUGAGACACGGCCCAGACUCCUACGGGAGGCAGCAGUGGGGAAUCUUAGACAAUGGGGGCAACCCUGAUCUAGCCAUGCCGCGUGAGUGAUGAAGGCCUUAGGGUUGUAAAGCUCUUUCAGCUGGGAAGAUAAUGACGGUACCAGCAGAAGAAGCCCCGGCUAACUCCGUG